Molecule: long non-coding RNA, 276 nt
Organism: Pollicipes pollicipes
Lineage: Eukaryota; Metazoa; Arthropoda; Thecostraca; Pollicipedomorpha; Pollicipedidae
Exons: 2
Source: RefSeq, a predicted model, not a curated record
GGCCGGCCCGCUGGCCGUGUUCGCCGCCGCCGCCGACGGCGACCGGCUGCGGCCGCUGCCCGACGGACCGCUCGCCGCCGCAGCCGCCACCCUCACGCCCCAGCUGCAAGGUACCUUCGAGAUGGCACAGCAGGUGAGCUGGCUGUUCAAGCAGUGGUUCGACAACGUGUCUACCUACAUGAGCAAGAAGGAAGAAAGGCUCAAGAUGGAGAAGAAAGAGGCACAAGUUAUUCCGGCGAAGAAGAGGAAAACGUCUGAAUAAACGGCGUUUGUCUC